UCCGGUAAUUUGAGCGACGUGGAACCACCCCAUCCCAUUCCGAACUGGGAAGUGAAACGCGUUAGCGCCGACAAUAGCUGUCUCGCAAGGGACCGUGAAGAUAGGUCAUUGCCGGGG
This 117-nucleotide ribosomal RNA is filed under the name Candidatus Gottesmanbacteria bacterium RBG_16_52_11. The record is from RNAcentral. Lineage: Bacteria; Candidatus Gottesmaniibacteriota.